RNAcentral lists this ribosomal RNA (540 nucleotides) under Pseudomonas fluorescens. RNAcentral's name for it is "partial 16S ribosomal RNA". It matches the Rfam family "Bacterial small subunit ribosomal RNA", at positions 64 to 602 of the family's 1533-position model. Lineage: Bacteria; Pseudomonadati; Pseudomonadota; Gammaproteobacteria; Pseudomonadales; Pseudomonadaceae. The record is from RNAcentral.
GAGCGGNNGAGAGGUGCUUGNNNUCUUGAGAGCGGCGGACGGGUGAGUAAUGCCUAGGAAUCUGCCUGGUAGUGGGGGAUAACGCUCGGAAACGGACGCUAAUACCGCAUACGUCCUACGGGAGAAAGCAGGGGACCUUCGGGCCUUGCGCUAUCAGAUGAGCCUAGGUCGGAUUAGCUAGUUGGUGGGGUAAUGGCUCACCAAGGCGACGAUCCGUAACUGGUCUGAGAGGAUGAUCAGUCACACUGGAACUGAGACACGGUCCAGACUCCUACGGGAGGCAGCAGUGGGGAAUAUUGGACAAUGGGCGANACGNGAUCCAGCCAUGCCGCGUGUGUGAAGAAGGUCUUCGGAUUGUAAAGCACUUUAAGUUGGGAGGAAGGGCAUUAACCUAAUACGUUAGUGUUUUGACGUUACCGACAGAAUAAGCACCGGCUAACUCUGUGCCAGCAGCCGCGGUAAUACAGAGGGUGCAAGCGUUAAUCGGAAUUACUGGGCGUAAANNGCGCGUANNCAACCUGGGAACUGCAUUCAAAACNG